AUUGAACGCUGGCGGCAGGCCUAACACAUGCAAGUCGAGCGGAUGAAGGGAGCUUGCUCCUGGAUUCAGCGGCGGACGGGUGAGUAAUGCCUAGGAAUCUGCCUGGUAGUGGGGGAUAACGUCCGGAAACGGGCGCUAAUACCGCAUACGUCCUGAGGGAGAAAGUGGGGGAUCUUCGGACCUCACGCUAUCAGAUGGGCCUAGGUCGGAUUAGCUAGUUGGUGGGGUAAAGGCCUACCAAGGCGACGAUCCGUAACUGGUCUGAGAGGAUGAUCAGUCACACUGGAACUGAGACACGGUCCAGGCGCCUACGGGAGGGCGCAGUGGGGAAUAGUGGACAAUGGGCGAAAGCCUGAUCCAGCCAUGCCGCGUGUGUGAAGAAGGUCUUCGGAUUGUAAAGCACUUUAAGUUGGGAGGAAGGGCAGUAAGUUAAUACCUUGCUGUUUUGACGUUACCAACAGAAUAAGCACCGGCUAACUUCGUG
Molecule: ribosomal RNA, 484 nt
Filed under: uncultured bacterium
Lineage: Bacteria
Description: partial 16S ribosomal RNA
Rfam family: Bacterial small subunit ribosomal RNA
Source: RNAcentral